This 4713-nucleotide long non-coding RNA is filed under the name Daphnia magna. RNAcentral describes it as "uncharacterized LOC116921149". The record is from RNAcentral. Lineage: Eukaryota; Metazoa; Arthropoda; Branchiopoda; Diplostraca; Daphniidae.
GCAGAAGUUGCCCGAAAAUGUUCCAAUACCUGCCUAAGACGAACAAGCAGUGUUCUCUGAUUAAAUCUUGAAAACUGAGUGUUAGUGCAGUGACAGUCAUAUAGGAAUAGAUUAGGAUGUUUUAUGAAUAUCAUAAGUAAAUAGAAGAUAUCAGCUUGGGUACUGUCAUAUCAUAGCUGUUUGAAGUUGCACUGUUCACAGAAAACAGAAGAGGGGUUACCUCUGUUAGAAUGGAACCGUAUUCAAAACUUUAAUCAAGGUUCUACAUAUAGCAAUUCAAAUGUUACCUGAUCCUCAGUUCGAAGAUCUCGUAUCAUUUGGCGUCUUCUGUUUCUAUCGAAUAUGGCGCCCCCUUAAACAGGGGAGGCUUAAAUUUAAAUAAUGGCAGCUAACAGAAGAUUCCAUAUGACUGUUGAUCAUUUCCUCCAGUUGGCGAAACGUUGGUCGUUCUUUGGGCUCCGUUUUCCAACAGUUUGCCAUUAUUACUCCGAAGAAAUUUGGCGCAUUUUCUGGUUUUUCCAUGCGUGAAGAGCUCCCAGAGUAAAACACCAAAUGACCAGACGUCGGAUUGACUGGAGAAAAUUCGAGCAGUUAGGGAUUCAAUAGCCAUCCAUUUUACCGGCAUUAGUCCCUUUCAAUCAAAGAAUCAUCGUUGCCCUCGUAGUACAUUUUUUUAGCCAUUCCAAAGUCAGCCACUUUGACAACUCCGUCGUCAGCUAACAAAACGUUGCGAGCGGCCAAAUCACCGUGAAGAACCUUGAAAGCAAAUAAUUGCGAUUUUCUACAUUACGGGGACAAAAAGAACGUUAAAUUUCUAGCUCUUCCAUCUUCCAGCCUAACUGAUGAAAGAAAUCAGAGAAAUAGGACAACUUGAAGAAUAUUCGAGAUAGGCCUAAUCUAAAAGGUCCAAGCGACUUUCGUAGAAGCCAUGGAGAUGCCGCAUCAACUUUAUUUCGUAUUCUUUCCUCAUUUGAAUUCCUGAUGUCAGUAAAGCACGGUGGAUUAGUUUUAUUUAUAAUUUGCAUGGGACCGGUAUCAUUGAUCCUGUAGUACCAUUCAGGUGGUGAGGGGAACCCCUUUCGCAUUUUAUCGUUAAUCUCCCCAUCGGUGUGGAUGAGGCAAAUUAACGUGACGUUGCUUCCUUCUACCGGAUCGUCGGAAUCGCCAAUUCGAGUCAAUUCCAUCCCUACAACAUUUUAACUUUUAGAUAGGCAGGUAACGUCCAUGAAAUGUUGGUGCUGUCAAAUCCAUCAUAAUAUUUGUAAACACAAGUUAGCGUUAGCGUGGAAUUUGCUUCGACCACCUGCUCCUUGACAUUUGGAAUCAUCUGCAAUCGUUGCGCACCACUUCGAUUGACAGCCAGGAUGAAGCAAAAUGUUAGAAGUACCAACUUUACUGAACUGUGUGGCAUCUGAAACCCAUAAUUGAGGAUAUUUUUUCGGUUUCACAAUGGCUGUCGAAAGUAACAAAUUUGCGUUCACGCGCUUCCGCCAGCAAGCGUCAAAACUUGAAUGUUACAUGAAGUGAAAGGCCGUGUAGCACUAGACCUUACGUCCACCGAAUGCAAUAGUCUCCUUCACUGGACUAACAAAAAAGGGGCAAGUUAUAGGUCGAAUCGAUAGGAGGCUGGGCCGUUACGAUGGCGACCAACCGAUUUUUCCGCUGGAUAGGUUCCAAAGAGACAAACCGGAUAUGCGCGUUCCGACCCAUAUGUAACUAGUUCUUUAUGAAAGCUUGAUCUUCGCGAUUCGCACUUGUUGCGUUACAAACGGGAGUAAUCCCCAUUUCCCGAUAGUUGGCAAACCACUUUUGAAUCGCCCAAUUCGGAACAUCGGCCUUAGAAAUCAUCCGCGUCACUAUUCUCGAUUGGCUUAAUCCGGAUGUUUGGUCCAAUCGAAAACUUGGGGUGCUUUUUCGACUGAAUUGCCUUUCGUAGUUGGAUUCUGUUGUGGCAAUAACGUCGAUUACUUUCACAGCCAUUAUUUCGGUGGUUAUGCCCUCCCACUUAAUUCAUCCAUGAAUGAAAUAGGAAGCGACAGACCGUGCACAAGGCCAUUAAACUUGCUUCGUGGCGUUCACGUGGUAUUACAUGGAGUUUUCAUUGCUAACAAGGCUAUCAUAGUAGGAACACUACUAAAUUCGUUUUGAUAGACAUGCAAAAUGGUAAGUGCUGUUUUUUAUUUGGCGGUUUUUAAAACUCUGCAUUUUUCCCCUUAUUUUGUAUGGAAUAUUUAUGCGUGAGAAUAAGUGUUUGUGCAGUACAUCACCUUCAAUGCAGAAAAUGCUGAAGACUCUUGGCAGCAUAAUCGAUUUCCAGGGCGUAGACGAAUUUGUAGUUUACACAGAAAAAUUAUGUGCUGGAAACGCCCCGCGAAAAAUUGCAUGUCUCCAUACUAUCAAUCCUCUGAACGGUUCUUAGUUACACUAACAUGUCAAUCAAUUGGUUUGCGUUAUUAGUUAUGCUAAACUACCUCUGCAAAGUUUGAAGUUUAGGGCUGUUAAAUAUCCGCACCAUCCAUUCAUCUUCUUCUGUCCUAUUUUCUCGCCACUCCUUUAACGUUACCGGUGAGACGCGAUAACGGCAUGGAUCAGACAUUAUUUUGUCAUAGAUGGAUAUAAACUCUCAUCGCUACCCGAUAAAAAGAAAACAACAUGCAGAGGUCUAACCAAAAGCACCAAGAUUGCUUUUGUUACAUAUCCACAAGAAAACAUUGCUUUGAAUUUCCCACAUGAUCGACAUACAUAUCCUGAAAGAAAAUUGGAUAGAUUCGCACUGGAAUCUCCAACGCGAACAUCUACCAACCAUUGUUGCGGUAAAUUCGAAUGACAGGACUUCAGUUUUUACAGUUUUACUUAUGAUCUCAGUCCAACUGUACCAAUAUUGUUAAACAGGUUAAGAAGCCCUAUGUAUUUUCUACGAUGAUAGCUUAAAUCAACCCUACUUGUAUGUACUGUACUUUUUUAACGAAUCAAAUUCCGAACGCCAGGACUUUACGUAUCAAUUUUCUCAACUGAGAGCCUAAUGGCCUAAUGCAACAUGACGUCUUAAACCUGCAGAGAGAGAAUUCCACGAACAAAACAGAAAAUAAUUAAAGAGCUUCUCGAAAGGUCCUUAGAGAAAUCAAUUACUGUAAUUUGAUUACCUGGACUCAGGUAACAAGUAGUUAGUAAGAAGCAUCUAGUGGAGAAAUAAGCAACUGCUUUGACAUUUUACGGCUAGUUCGUGGUUUCGUUUUUGCUCAGCGUCCAUUAAGUUAAGCGUGGUAGUCAUGAUGGACGUCUCUCUUAACAGGAAUUUCUGCACUAAUUUCAUAGUUUGAUACAUAUAUUGUGCUAUUAUUUAACCCUCACUUCUAUUCGUGAUUAACUUGCGAGCAAGAAUCAGCUUUGGGAUUAUGAGCUCUUAACAAAUACCAGAACAAGCCAUACUCAAGUUUUAGCACAAAACUUGUAGUUGCACAACCAUGAUUCUUCCUGAACACCUAUGCAGUAUGGAAUGCUUGACAGGUGAAUGGCAAUGAGUAUAACAUAUGCUAUAUGUGGGAAAAGCCUGGCAGAAUGUGGUAUCAAUGAACAUCAUAAGGGAGCUCAUAGGCAUAAAUUGAAUUUUCUUAAAAUGAUUUUGAGAUUUACCCUUUUGAUUCCUGGAACUAUAGGAUUAAGGAAAUCAUAAAUGCCCUCAAAGACCACCAGCACACCUGUUAUCCCCACCCAGAUCCAAAUUGAUUAUAACCCAGAAAAUAUGUUACCAAUUAAGUUUAACAUUUUCUAAAUUCCUUUUUUUUUUUUUAUGGAUGUGAAGGCUAAAGGCUUUUUAAAUUAGCAAUAUGUAGGUGUUGUGGCUUCCAUACAGUGUCGUUUACCAUUAUUCUAUGUUGAAAAGAGAAUCAUGUAACCAAUUUUCUAUUUCCAGAUAAGCUGAAGCAAUGAAUAAGACAUUGAAAGGAUAGCAAAUGAUCGCAGACAUUUUUGAGAAGAAAAACUAGGAAAGAAAAAUAUAGCGCUUUUGCAAGUUGGUGCUUUUCCAGUAUGGACAUUGCAUGAUGUGUGUGGCGUGCUUAGUAAAUGGUUGCCUGAUUGCAAAUGACAGCUGGACUAACAUUUUAGUUCAAACAUAUCACUAUUUGGUUAUGUUUUCGAAAUUUACGUUCAAAAUGAGCUUCAAGAUUGAAGUAGAAAAUGUUAUAUUAACUGGCUGGAUUCCUAUUUAUUAACAUUUGAAACCAAAUUCACCACAUUACAAAUGUUUAGUUGGUCCAAAUCCGUUCGAUACCGCUGAUGAUUUAUCCCGUAUCCGUAUGUCCAUAUGGAGGAGUUGGCGAUGGCUGUUCUAAAUUCCACUUAGGGAAGAACAAGGAUGAUGGUAAUAGUUGGUACUAUUUUGACUAUAGCGACGUCCACGAAGCUAGCGAGGAGUCUACUGACUAAGCCCGUAUAUGACCGACCUCCGUUAACGAAGUCUGUUCCAGCUCCUGUCCACAAUACGCGCGCAAAGCGAAAGACAACAAACUAUAGCGAAGAAGAUUUUCACUUGAGUUAAUUGCUUGGAACUCAUGGUUAUCCCGGUUUCAAUGCUUAUCCUGGUGUUCAUAUCAAGUCAUGUUUAGUUUUCACAUGGAAAUCAGACUAGAAACUUUCCAACUAUAAGACUAUAGAAGGAUUGCACAGAUUAUUUUUUGAAGUAAGUUCCAUAAACAAAUAUUUUUCUGUUGA